Populus nigra (black poplar) is the source of this 678-nucleotide long non-coding RNA. RefSeq lists it as uncharacterized. The record is from RefSeq and is a predicted model, not a curated record. Lineage: Eukaryota; Viridiplantae; Streptophyta; Magnoliopsida; Malpighiales; Salicaceae. The transcript has 2 exons.
CACAAACUAUAUUUUAUAUAUGCUCAAGAAUUUGCCAGAGAGGUCAGAAGGUCAAUAUAGCUCUCAAGUAUUGCGUGGUCUGCCUUCCAAGCUCUUAAUGCUUACAUUGUGACCUCUCACAGUCACUUGCAUUCAUUCAUUUCAUCUCCCCAACCCCUCCACUUCUCCAUCCUCUCUCUCCAACCUUGUGCUAGUGCCAUAGAUUAUACAGUCUCUCGCUCUCCUUUCCUUGCUUGUCUACAAGUUAUCUUCUUGCAAGUGCUUUAAUUAAGGUAGUGGCUGGCCAUGAUGACGAUGGGACUGGGGAGCUUGGUGAUGAACUUGAAAUCGAAAAUAAGAAGUUUGAAGAUGAAGAAACCUUAUGAUAAGAUUGAGAAGAGUGAUAGCAUGAGAGUUGAAAUAAGAAGCAGGAAGGCCAGGAAGCUCGUUGAAGAGACAUUGAAGAUCGCUGAUUCUCCAAAGACCAAGACGUAUGCUUUCUGAUCAGUACUACUGUUCUUGAUCAUGAUCAUCUCAGAUCCCGCAAGUAAUUAGAGGGAAGACAUCUCGUAGUUGUGUCAUGUUCUGAUGUUUCUUUCAUUUCCUUCUUGAUUAAGCAUGUUCUUAUUAUAGAAGAUGAUACAAGAAGGUUGUCUUUAAAUUUGUUAGGGGCAUGCGUUACUCUUAUUUUCUUCUUCA